This 75-nucleotide transfer RNA is filed under the name Candidatus Aenigmatarchaeota archaeon. RNAcentral describes it as "tRNA-Glu". It matches the Rfam family "tRNA". From Rfam's summary of the family: Transfer RNA (tRNA) molecules are approximately 80 nucleotides in length. Their secondary structure includes four short double-helical elements and three loops (D, anti-codon, and T loops). Further hydrogen bonds mediate the characteristic L-shaped molecular structure. tRNAs have two regions of fundamental functional importance: the anti-codon, which is responsible for specific mRNA codon recognition, and the 3' end, to which the tRNAs corresponding amino acid is attached (by aminoacyl-tRNA synthetases). tRNAs cope with the degeneracy of the genetic code in two manners: having more than one tRNA (with a specific anti-codon) for a particular amino acid; and 'wobble' base-pairing, i.e. permitting non-standard base-pairing at the 3rd anti-codon position. The record is from RNAcentral. Lineage: Archaea; Nanobdellati; Candidatus Aenigmatarchaeota.
GGCCCCGUCGUCUAGCGGAUAGGACACCACCCCUUCAAGGUGGAAACAUGGGUUCAAUUCCCGUCGGGGCCACCA